Molecule: ribosomal RNA, 463 nt
Filed under: uncultured bacterium
Lineage: Bacteria
Description: partial 16S ribosomal RNA
Rfam family: Bacterial small subunit ribosomal RNA
Source: RNAcentral
ACGAACGCUGGCGGCGUGCUUUACACCUGCAAGUCGAACGGAAAGGCCCUGCUUGCAGGGUACUCGAGUGGCGAACGGGUGAGUAACACGUGGGUGAUCUGCCCUGCACUUCGGGAUAAGCUUGGGAAACUGGGUCUAAUACCGGAUAGGAGCCAUUUUUAGUGUGAUGGUUGGAAAGUUUUUUCGGUGUAGGAUGAGCUCGCGGCCUAUCAGCUUGUUGGUGGGGUAAUGGCCUACCAAGGCGGCGACGGGUAGCCGGCCUGAGAGGGUGGACGGCCACAUUGGGACUGAGAUACGGCCCAGACUCCUACGGGAGGCAGCAGUGGGGAAUAUUGCACAAUGGGCGCAAGCCUGAUGCAGCGACGCCGCGUGGGGGAUGACGGCCUUCGGGUUGUAAACUCCUUUCGCUAGGGACGAAGCUUUUGUGACGGUACCUAGAGAAGAAGCACCGGCUAACUACGUG